RNAcentral lists this ribosomal RNA (1996 nucleotides) under Hydrococcus sp. CRU_1_1. RNAcentral describes it as "partial 23S ribosomal RNA". It matches the Rfam family "Bacterial large subunit ribosomal RNA", at positions 1 to 2035 of the family's 2925-position model. Lineage: Bacteria; Bacillati; Cyanobacteriota; Cyanophyceae; Pleurocapsales; Hydrococcaceae. The record is from RNAcentral.
AGGUCAAGCUAACAAGAGCUAACGGUGGAUACCUAGGCACGCAGAGGCGAAGAAGGACGUAGCGACCGACGAAACGCUCCGGGGAGUAGGAAGCAAGCAUUGAGCCGGAGAUCUCCGAAUGAGGAAACUCUAAUAUACGGUUCGUUGAAUACAUAGACGAACGCGAGCGAACCUGGCGAACUGAAACAUCUUAGUAGCCAGAGGAAAAGAAAGCAAAAGCGAUUCCCUAAGUAGCGGCGAGCGAAAGGGGACAAGCCUAAACCAGAUACUACGGUAACUGGGGUAGUGGGACGACCACAAGCGACUGAAGAAAUUAGACGAAGUAGCUGAAAACUACACCAGAGAAGGUAAAAGUCCUGUAGUCGAAAAUGGAAGCAGCGCGGUCGAAUCCCGAGUAGCAAGGGGCACGUGAAAUCCCUUGUGAAUCAGCGAGGACCAUCUCGUAAGGCUAAAUACUACUGCGUGACCGAUAGCGAAACAGUACCGCGAGGGAAAGGUGAAAAGAACCCCGGUAAGGGGAGUGAAAUAGAACAUGAAACCGUUAGCUUACAAGCAGUGGAAGGCUGAUUAAACGGCUGACCGCGUGCCUGUUGAAGAAUGAGCCGGCGACUUGCAGGCUGUGGCAGGUUAAGGUGAAUAAAACCGAAGCCAAAGUGAAAACGAGUCCGAAAAGGGCGAACUCGUCACAGUUUGCAGACCCGAACCCGGGCGAUCUAACCAUGGCCAGGAUGAAGCUUGGGUAAAACCAAGUGGAGGUCCGAACCGACCGAUGUUGAAAAAUCGGCGGAUGAGCUGUGGUUAGGGGUGAAAUGCCAAUCGAGCCCGGAGCUAGCUGGUUCUCCCCGAAAUGCGUUGAGGCGCAGCGGUACCAGCAAAAGCGUGGGGGUAAAGCACUGUUUCGCUGCGGGCGGCGAGAGCUGUACUAAAGCGAGACAAACUAAGAAUACCGCGUGAUAGGGUACCAGUAAGACGGUGGGGGAUAAGCUUCAUCGUCAAGAGGGAAACAGCCCAGACCACCAGCUAAGGUCCCCAAAUGGACGCUAAGUGAGAAAGGAGGUGGGAGUGCUUAGACAACCAGGAGGUUUGCCUAGAAGCAGCAAUCCUUAAAAGAGUGCGUAAUAGCUCACUGGUCAAGCGCUCCUGCGCCGAAAAUGAACGGGGCUAAGCGUCCUACCGAAGCUGUGGAAUUACUAUCGUAAUUGGUAGGGGAGCGUUCUAGAUGGGGUGAAGCACUAGCGGCAAGCAGGUGUGGACUGUCUAGAAGUGAGAAUGUCGGCUUGAGUAGCGAAAACAUUGGUGAGAAUCCAAUGCCCCGAAACCCUAAGGGUUCCUCCGCAAGGCUCGUCCGCGGAGGGUUAGUCAGGGCCUAAGGCGAGGCUGAAAAGCGUAGUCGAUGGACAACGGGUUAACAAUCCCGUACUGUUUGGUUGUUGUGAAGGGGGACGGAGAAGGCUAGACCAGCCGCAUGUUGGUUAGCGGUGCAAGUAUUCGAGGCGUUGAGGAGCGGAGAAAACGUUCCGAGCUGAGGUAUGAGUCCGAGUUCCUACGGGAACGAAGUGGUCGAUGUCAAGCUUCCCAGAAAAGCCCUAACCACGUUAAUAGCCAAAUACCUGUACCCGAAACCGACACAGGUGGGGAGGUAGAGAAUACCGAGGGGCGCGAGAUAACUCUCUCUAAGGAACUCGGCAAAAUAACCCCGUAACUUUGGGAGAAGGGGUGCCACCGCGAGGUGGUCGCAGUGAAGAGGCCCAGGCGACUGUUUACCAAAAACACAGGUCUCCGCGAAGUCGUAAGACGCAGUAUGGGGGCUGACGCCUGCCCAGUGCCGGAAGGUUAAGGAAGUUGGUCAGGGGCUUGCCCUAAAGCUGACGACUGAAGCCCCGGUGAACGGCGGCCGUAACUAUAACGGUCCUAAGGUAGCGAAAUUCCUUGUCGGGUAAGUUCCGACCCGCACGAAAGGCGUAACGAUCUGGGCACUGUCUCGGAGAGAGACUCG